CCCUCUCAAUUUCUCAAUUAGAAAUUUCUCAAAAAGAAAUUUCUCAAUUUCUUUUCUUUCCAAAAUAAAUAUAAAUUAUUUUUUAAAAGGUGCCUAAAUUCACUAAAUUCAUGCCGAGUCUGAGCACAAACUGUUUGCAAAAAGCAUGGAAGGAUUUGAGUUUUGGACGAGGCCAACGUGAGACCCAAGAGGAGUUCACAGACCAAGGAUCAUGAGAAUGAACAUCCCAGGAAUUUCCACAUAUGAGGGGGAGAGACACCACAGCAGUAUUCUGUCAUUCAUGGAAUUUCCACCUGGUGCUGUGAUGUUCACAUGUGGUGUAGGGGCUCAAACCUGGAGUCUUGCACAUGACAGUGUUUCUGGUCUACCCCCAUGUCACCUAUCAAGAUCAAGCACUUUGGAUUAUGUCCAGAGACAUCAGGCAUGGAAUUUCAGCCCUUCAGCUUCAUUACUCUGAUGACUUCCCCAAAGUGUCCUGGAAUCCCACCUCUCCAGAGCCCUGCCCCACUACGGAAAGAGAGAAACAGACUGGGAGUAUGGAUCGAACUGUCAACGCCCAUGUUCAGUGGAGAAGCAAUUCUAGAAGCCAGACCUUCCUCCUUCUGCACUCCAUAAUGAUCUUGGGUCCAUGUUUACAGAGGGAUAAAGAACAGAAAAGCUUUCAAGGGAGGGGAUGGGAUACAGAACUCUGGUGGUGGGAACUGUGUGAAAGUG
Long non-coding RNA from Erinaceus europaeus (western European hedgehog), 714 nucleotides. RefSeq lists it as uncharacterized. The transcript is spliced from 4 exons. The record is from RefSeq and is a predicted model, not a curated record. NCBI's taxonomy places the organism in Eukaryota, Metazoa, Chordata, Mammalia, Eulipotyphla, Erinaceidae.